AGCUUGUGGGUGAUUGUUCACACGACUAUUCUUCUAUUGUACACAUUUAACUAUAGUUAUUUUUUAGUAUCUUACUUGUAUUGAAUCUUCAGACGUCUAAAAGUAUUUUUUAUGACAAUUAAAAAUACUUGACGUUGCAUUGUCAAUCAUUUUAUAUACUCUAAAAAGAUGUGUUGGUUCGUUAUUGUAUAUAUUUACGAUUCUAGAGAUUAAGAAUAAUUCAUAUUUAGAGGUUAUUUUCCUCAUCAUGUUCUAUCAUAGUUACUCAUCAUUGAGGAAACACCAACUUUUGCAAACUUUUCUUAAAAAAAUUACUCUUAUCAUGUAAAAUGAUGAAAGAUAUGUAACUAAUAUAUAGUUACUGUAGGUCAAAAAUUUUAAAUGAAUUUAUCAUUAAAAAAUGAAUGUGUGAUUGAUUAACAUCUUGAUGCUCCUUUUUAUGCUGCUCAUCAUAGAUAAUGUUGGAUAUUUAAGAUUUGUGAUAUAUAUUUGCAAACAUUAUGCAGUCUUUUUUCGAGUGUGUAGUCAAAGGAUAAAGAAGAUUAAAAAGCAACAGUGAAGUAUGAAAGAGUAAGAUGAACAAGAAAAGAUAACAAGAUACUGGUGAGGCUUGGCCAGAAAAAACAAAAAUGCAAUUCGACAACAUAGCCAUCGCUGCACUGAAAUUCAAGGUUGAAUCUCCCAGUUCAGUGAUUAUCUACUCUGACUUUAACAACAUUAAAAGAUGAAACGAAUGGAAGAAUAAAAAGUUGAACUGAAUUUAAAAGAAACCUCGAGAAAUAUUUUCUUACAAAUAUUUAUGAUAAAAUUUAUGCCACAAGAAUUUUGGAAGAGUGUAAAUCAAAAAUAAUUAGACAGAUUUGAAGAAAAAUAACUUUUGACACGUUUUAUCGACUUAGUUGUACUAAAAAAACCCAAACACUCUAGGAUAUUGAUUAAUAAUGCUUUGUAACUAAUGAAAGUUUUUCAAUUCAUUCAAUUGAAGUAAAGUGUGAACAAAAUCUGUCAAAUUAUUCUCACGAUAUCAAAAAAUACAUUGGUACUCACGUCGAUGUGUGUAGUGGAAGUCACACAUGUAAAUAUUCUUGAGAAAACUACCUGAAUGAUUCGAAGUAAAAAAAAAAUACCUGACAAAAACUUACCGUUAAAUUUUCACACCCAUCACAAUAAUAACCACUCGCCCCUAUUUUUCUGGAAAUUGCGGAAAGUCAAAAAUAUUUAUAACUUAUUCAGUCGGUCUACCGCAGGAUUUGAAAUGCUUUGAAGAAAAAUUUCACAUGACCUUUCUUCUAUGCCACCUUUUUUUCAUCUGGCAGGAAAGAUGGUGAAAUUUAUCAGAAAAGUUGAACGGUUAUAAUAAAAUCCAAGCGUACGUUACAUUCAGAUCUUAGUCCAUUUUUUUUACGAGCGUUCGUUCAAUUCCACUUCUGACAAUUUAAC
Long non-coding RNA from Chelonus insularis, 1440 nucleotides. RefSeq lists it as uncharacterized. The transcript is spliced from 5 exons. The record is from RefSeq and is a predicted model, not a curated record. NCBI's taxonomy places the organism in Eukaryota, Metazoa, Arthropoda, Insecta, Hymenoptera, Braconidae.